GAAGAGAUGGCCAAGUGGUGAAGGCAAUGGCCUGCCAAUCCAUUGUGGGUUUGAACCCCAUUCUUGUUG
RNAcentral lists this transfer RNA (69 nucleotides) under Scleropages formosus (Asian bonytongue). It matches the Rfam family "tRNA". From Rfam's summary of the family: Transfer RNA (tRNA) molecules are approximately 80 nucleotides in length. Their secondary structure includes four short double-helical elements and three loops (D, anti-codon, and T loops). Lineage: Eukaryota; Metazoa; Chordata; Actinopteri; Osteoglossiformes; Osteoglossidae. The record is from Rfam by way of RNAcentral.